UUUUAGGUGCUUGCACUUGAAAGAUUUAACAUUGAGACGAGUGGCGAACUGGUGAGUAACACGUGGGUAACCUGCCCUUGAAGUAGGGGAUAACACUUGGAAACAGGUGCUAAUACCGUAUAACAACCAAAACCACCUGGUUUUGGUUUAAAAGACGGCUUCGGCUGUCACUUUAGGAUGGACCCGCGGCGUAUUAGCUUGUUGGUAAGGUAACGGCCUACCAAGGCGAUGAUACGUAGCCGACCUGAGAGGGUAAUCGGCCACAUUGGGACUGAGACACGGCCCAAACUCCUACGGGAGGCAGCAGUAGGGAAUCUUCCACAAUGGACGAAAGUCUGAUGGAGCAACGCCGCGUGAGUGAUGAAGGGUUUCGGCUCGUAAAACUCUGUUGUUGGAGAAGAACAGGUGUCAGAGUAACUGUUGACAUCUUGACGGUAUCCAACCAGAAAGCCACGGCUAACUACGUGCCAGCAGCCGCGGUAAUACGUAGGUGGCAAGCGUUGUCCGGAUUUAUUGGGCGUAAAGCGAGCGCAGGCGGUUUUUUAGGUCUGAUGUGAAAGCCUUCGGCUUAACCGGAGAAGUGCAUCGGAAACCGGGAGACUUGAGUGCAGAAGAGGACAGUGGAACUCCAUGUGUAGCGGUGAAAUGCGUAGAUAUAUGGAAGAACACCAGUGGCGAAGGCGGCUGUCUGGUCUGUAACUGACGCUGAGGCUCGAAAGCAUGGGUAGCGAACAGGAUUAGAUACCCUGGUAGUCCAUGCCGUAAACGAUGAGUGCUAAGUGUUGGGAAGGGUUUCCGCCCCUUCAGUGCUGCAGGCUAACGCAUUAAGCACUCCGCCUGGGGGAGUACGACCGCAAGGUUGAAACUCAAAGGAAUUGACGGGGGCCCGCACAAGCGGUGGAGCAUGUGGUUUAAUUCGAUGCUACGCGAAGAACCUUACCAGGUCUUGACAUCUUCUGCCAACCUAAGAGAUUAGGCGUUCCCUUCGGGGACAGAAUGACAGGUGGUGCAUGGUUGUCGUCAGCUCCUGUCGUGAAAAGUUUGGGUUAAUUCCCCCACCAACGCCACCCCUUAUUGUUAGUUGCCACCAUUCAUUUGGGCCCCUUACAAGAAUGGCGGUGAAAACCCGAGGAAGGGGGGGGGUUAAAUUCAAAAAAUAUUGCCCCUUUUAACUGGGGGUAACACCUGGUUCAAUGGAA
This 1199-nucleotide ribosomal RNA is filed under the name Lentilactobacillus buchneri. RNAcentral's name for it is "bacterial SSU rRNA". It matches the Rfam family "Bacterial small subunit ribosomal RNA", at positions 70 to 1235 of the family's 1533-position model. Lineage: Bacteria; Bacillati; Bacillota; Bacilli; Lactobacillales; Lactobacillaceae. The record is from RNAcentral.